GACGAACGCUGGCGGCGUGCUUAACACAUGCAAGUCGAACGGAAAGGCCCUGCUUUUGUGGGGUGCUCGAGUGGCGAACGGGUGAGUAACACGUGAGUAACCUGCCCUUGACUUUGGAAUAACUUCAGGAAACUGGGGCUAAUACCGGAUAGGAGCUCCUGCUGCAUGGUGGGGGUUGGAAAGUUUCGGCGGUUGGGGAUGGACUCGCGGCUUAUCAGCUUGUUGGUGGGGUAGUGGCUUACCAAGGCUUUGACGGGUAGCCGGCCUGAGAGGGUGACCGGCCACAUUGGGACUGAGAUACGGCCCAGACUCCUACGGGAGGCAGCAGUGGGGAAUAUUGCACAAUGGGCGGAAGCCUGAUGCAGCAACGCCGCGUGCGGGAUGACGGCCUUCGGGUUGUAAACCGCUUUCGCCUGUGACGAAGCAUGAGUGACGGUAAUGGGUAAAGAAGCACCGGCUAACUACGUG
RNAcentral lists this ribosomal RNA (468 nucleotides) under uncultured bacterium. Its description in RNAcentral is "partial 16S ribosomal RNA". It matches the Rfam family "Bacterial small subunit ribosomal RNA", at positions 28 to 507 of the family's 1533-position model. The record is from RNAcentral.